UAAAUCUAGACAGUAUGAAGAAGAAAAGGGUUCAGAGGGGAAGGGAAGACCCCAGACAAAAGAGAAGAGAGGGGGUGUGUAACAGGGAACCCUAGCCCUGUCACCAAAAAGCAGGUCUGCCGCUUUACGACCAGAACUUUCUGGGUACAGAGUGCUGGUAAGGAAGGGGUUAAAUGCUGGGCCUGGACAGCUAGUCAGCUGACCGGAAGGGGCAGGACUAUAAAAACCCUGGGCAGAAUGGCAGUAAGGGGGAAGGGCUGUCUCUGAGAGCUUUAUAGAGAAGCUGGGUGAGUGGUCCAAAGGCAGGAGCUACGGAAGUUGUGCGGAGAUGGCAGCCACACCACAGCAAGGACUGUAGCUGACAGAAGGGAGCUGAGGCAUGAACCCUGCGAAUGUAAGCUGAGCUGCUGCUUUGCUUGAUCAUAUUGGUUCCCAGUGAGAAUACCACUCUAUGGUGGAGGAUCCUCUAUUCAUUAGUGGAGACACCUUCUUGUAUAAAUGCACACAGUCGUAUCACUUUAUUUGUGAGAAAAUGGCUGUUCAAUAAAUCCACUGCAGUCUCAGAAGAAUCAGAGAAUCCAUCCACAGAUGCUGCAAAGACAGAGACACCACCCAGCUUUUAACUUGCUGCACUACCUUUGAAACAAAUGAGGUGUCGCAUCAGAGGAUAAACCAUGACCCUUGCGGAAUGGCCCCAGCCAGUAGAAGCCCUCCCCCAACACCUUGUGUGACCUUCAUUCCUUGUUUGGUCUGAAACGUUUCCUGAAAUGGAAAAUUACAUCAUAAAAAGACUUUAUUUUUCCAACAUA
This is a long non-coding RNA of Alligator mississippiensis (American alligator), 809 nucleotides long. RefSeq lists it as uncharacterized. The transcript is spliced from 2 exons. Lineage: Eukaryota; Metazoa; Chordata; Crocodylia; Alligatoridae. The record is from RefSeq and is a predicted model, not a curated record.